GGAGCUUUCUUGACUUUCUACACUCAGC
RNAcentral lists this non-coding RNA (28 nucleotides) under Rattus norvegicus (Norway rat). The record is from RNAcentral. Lineage: Eukaryota; Metazoa; Chordata; Mammalia; Rodentia; Muridae.